RNAcentral lists this ribosomal RNA (491 nucleotides) under uncultured bacterium. RNAcentral describes it as "partial 16S ribosomal RNA". It matches the Rfam family "Bacterial small subunit ribosomal RNA", at positions 29 to 506 of the family's 1533-position model. The record is from RNAcentral.
AGUGAACGCUGGCGGUAGGCCUAACACAUGCAAGUCGAACGGCAGCACAGUAAGAGCUUGCUCUUACGGGUGGCGAGUGGCGGACGGGUGAGGAAUACAUCGGAAUCUACUUUUUCGUGGGGGAUAACGUAGGGAAACUUACGCUAAUACCGCAUACGACCUACGGGUGAAAGCAGGGGAUCUUCGGACCUUGCGCGAUUGAAUGAGCCGAUGUCGGAUUAGCUAGUUGGCGGGGUAAAGGCCCACCAAGGCGACGAUCCGUAGCUGGUCUGAGAGGAUGAUCAGCCACACUGGAACGUGGACACGGUCCAGACUCCUACGGGAGGCAGCAGUGGGGAAUAUUGGACAAUGGGCGCAAGCCUGAUCCAGCCAUACCGCGUGGGUGAAGAAGGCCUUCGGGUUGUAAAGCCCUUUUGUUGGGAAAGAAAAGCAGCAGGUUAAUACCCCGCUGUUCUGACGGUACCCAAAGAAGAAACACCGGCUAACUUCGU